UGAUAAGAGCACCUUCCCGUUUAACCACAGC
RNAcentral lists this non-coding RNA (31 nucleotides) under Mus musculus (house mouse). Lineage: Eukaryota; Metazoa; Chordata; Mammalia; Rodentia; Muridae. The record is from RNAcentral.